GCAUCUCUCACUCCCACCACCACACAAGGUGCCGAGAACCAAACCCAGGUCGUUAUGUCGUUAUGCUUCUGGUACGCACGUUAGCCGUUAAGCCACCUCCCCAGAGGUGUAUUUUUUUUUUUUUUUUUUUUUUUUUUGGUUUGAGUACCAGACUCUGUACUCUGUGAGUACAUCAACUCUUGUAACUUCCCCAGGCACGACGUGAAGACGAAAGAGGAAGAGCUCCCAUUUUACAGCCUCCAUUGUGGUAGGAGACACCAGCCACCCUUGUGGAAGGCUAAGGUGGUUGUCUGCUUGGAAGAUGACUCACUCCUCAGUCCACAUGACACCACUGAUGCUGGUGUGCCUUAAAAACAAGAGUCAAGGAACUGGAAACGCCGUGUUCUUAGACUUGAUCCUCAACACAACACUCUAUGCCUGCCAUUUUCUCCUUGGCGACUUGUUUCACGCUCAGGAACCCAUUAAGCACAACUUUGACUGAUAAUUGAUAAUAUUAACAAGCAUUUAUAUCAUAGAUGUGAUCCAAUUAUAAAUACAUUAAAUAUUUCAUGUGUAUAUAAUAUUUAGAUGAAAUGAAAUAUUAAAUAUUUUAUAUUAUAUUAAAUAAAUACUAAACAUAUUUUAAAGUUUACA
RNAcentral lists this long non-coding RNA (633 nucleotides) under Mus spicilegus (steppe mouse). RNAcentral's name for it is "lncRNA (ENSMSIG00000010838.1)". Lineage: Eukaryota; Metazoa; Chordata; Mammalia; Rodentia; Muridae. The record is from RNAcentral.